UCAUUCGGGCUGACAGCGGCAUUUAUGAGAGCAAAUGUCUGUCCCUGCGCAAUUUCUGUGGGGAUAGUUGCAGUCAGGUCUACAGGAUUUGCUUAAAAAUUUCCAAGACCUGGGUGUGUCUGACAGCCUGGACCUCAACCUCAAAAAGGAACUAGCUCCUCUCUGAUUUCCUUGGGACACCUGGGAGCAAGCACAGGAGCCCAUGGAGCCACGGAGAGUGUCACUUCAAGCGCCUCCUGGGAGCUCUUGCAGAUGCCAAGUGCUCUGCCCUUCCCCAUUACCUGUGAUUUCAAGUGGGCUUAGAGAUUCUCCAAGAUGUGAGAUGAAAGGCCAAGAAACUAAUUCCUCUGACUUCUUCAGAGAACCGCACAGUCUCUUGAGAUGAAGCCCUGUGGAUUCUACCUCUGGAUCAUCUCAUCCAAAAUGCCACCCGUCAGUUUCCACUGGUCCUCCUUGGUUCAAGGCGUCCUCAUCUUCACCCUCCACUGAAGCAACAACUCCUCACGGAUCUUCCUGCUUCCAAUCUUGCCUUUCUCUUUUCUCUCUUACCCAAACCCAUAGGCAUGUCCUCUUCAGAUCAUGAAUAAUAUUCCUAAAACACAAACAGGAUCAGAUUCCCCCCUUGUAAAAUUCCUUCAGUGGAUGUCUUCUAACUUCAAGGGAAAGGCUAGGACCCUUGGAUCUUCCAAAUCCAGACCAGGCUGACUGCUCUAGCCUUCUUCCAACAUCCACGACACCCAUUUUGCACCCAAUGCUCUAGGCACUGGGAGCUACUCACAGUUCCCCUGACCUGACAAACUGUUCAGACAUCCACACAUUUCCUAGUGCUGUCUGCACCUGCAUAAAUUGCCCUCUGCUUUCCUCAUGUCCCCUCUACUGUUAAAACCUGCUCAUCUCUUAUUACUCAGCUCCACUGUUCUCUUCUCGCUCUACAGAAAAGGUUCCAGGCUCCAGUUAUGACUCUCCUCUAUGUCCCAAUCAGAACACAUUCGGUUCCCAUUAGAGUCUCUAGGACAAUCUAAUCUUGCAUUACCUUUUCCUCUAUAGGACCACAGCUUGUUGAAGAAAAUGAACAGUCUCCCUGGUACCAUUUGUUUUUGUAUCCCCAGCAUCUAUGGCAUUGAGUACAUAGAAUCCUUGGGAUGACCAGCAAUUGAGCUGUGGGCAGAACAAGAACAAUCAGCAAAGGAGACUGAGAAGCACCAGCCAGAGAAGCAGGAGGAGAACCGGUAGAGAGACAGCUACUGCAGCCACCAAAGGGAGAAAUGUAGGCAUCUGGUUGGGUUGGGCUAGAUUUUUUAGGUCUGCAUGAGGCCUCAGGAUGACCCUGUGAGAGCACCCCAAGUCACCCAGGAGAGCCAGCAGAGCAUCUGUGUAUGACAUAUGACCCCCCUACCACCACCCUUGACUGUUCAAACUGGAGAAGGGCUGAAAACACGUGGGCAGCCAAGCACCUUUUAUGGGUUUCUGGAAGGUCAUCUCAGCCACAGCAUCAAGUACACCACGUGAUGCUCACUCACAGUAUGAGCCCCCAUGAGGAAAGCAAUGACCCCAACACUGAGAGCAUGGUAGGGUCCCAUCUGCUCCCACAUGGCAGACAGGCCCCGAGGAAUGAGCAUGACUGGGUCUGCCAACCAGAUGCAGAUGCAGGGUGGUAUGGUUGAAUCAGGCAGAUGGCUGUAGGAUCAAUUCUCCAUCUCACCAUUUUUUUGUUGGGUAAUUCUGAUUAAGUUAGUGAACUUCCUUAGCUUGCUUUGUACCAUGGAGACAAAACAUCCACCUCACACAAUUGCUAGAGCAUGCAGGCGAGGAAGGACUUGACAUCUAUUGUAGCUGAUAAUAAAGACACACUAGUGCUCUCUUCUUGUGCAUGUUCUUAGUCUUACAGAUGUAUGCUGAUUUUGAAUAUAAAACCUAUAUAGUUGAUGUUUACUUUUUGGAUAUCAUAAUGACCCUAGAGCCCACAGGAUAUAUGAUAUGAACAUUCAUUCCUUCAGCUAAUAUUUAUUGAGCAUCUGUGCUAAGUACUGGGAAGGCAAUAGUGAUUAUCCAAAGGUCACAUUUUCCUGUGUGUUGAAGGUGCUUCAUUGAGGAAGACAAAUGUGUGAGCUUCUAGGCAGGAGAAGUGACAUUCACAAAGACACAUACUGUGUAUAAUUGGAGGGUUAGAAGAUGGCAGAGAUGAGAGAUAGCAGGGAAGUUGCACAAGGGCCGGGGAAUGGACCACAGAGAGUGUUGAAUGCCACCCUCAAGAUAGCAGCCCCUGUGGGCCAUGGGCAGGACAGUGACAACUGACUGCUUCCCUUCCCUCUCUUUUUUUCUUUUUUUGUCUACUUUUAGUGUUUAAAAUUUCAAUUAAUUAAUGAAUCAAAGUUGGCAACAAAAGAUUUUGCUACAUUUGCCUGUCCCGAUUCUUGACAAUUCUCUCUGAGGAGGAGCACUGGGAUACUCGUACUGUCUGGCAUCUAUUAGGUAUUGUUUAAUAUCUGUUCAAAUGAACAAAAUGUACUUGUAUUGAGUUGAACCAAAGUGAAGCCCUUUGGGACAACUUUGGAGCAAUAGUGGAUUAUAUUAUUCUGGAUGACUUAUGAAAAAUAUUUACCCUUAAUCAGUCUUAGAUGAACUGAAAAUUAUUCAUAUUCAGUUCAGUUAAUGGUGGUUAUUUAGCUAAGUCUUGAUUACGUAUAACGGACAGGAGCUAGUCAACAGAUAACGACGUGGCCCUGGGUUCCCUCUGCCCUGGCCUGAACAUCCUUUUUAUGAAAGGACACUUUCCUGUUUGUACAGCAGCCAAAGACUCACAUGUGAAUUCUUUAUACACACUGCAAGCAAUCCAAGCAUCUGACUUCCAUUCUUCACUCACAGCUGGGAGCAAGUGCGAGAAAUCAGUGGAAAGCUGGAGGUUUGUUAACAGGGGGUUUAUUUUGGCACUCAGUUGCAAUUAAAUCCGGUGGGUUAAAAGCUUCUGAAUGUAUUACCCUCUUUUAAACAAGCCACUUUUAGAGUGUUUCCACAAUGAACAAUAUUCAUCACCAAUGUUAUAUAUGGCUGACUUUCACUCUCAAAUAAUACCUUCUUUCCUUGGAAGGAAAAACAACUUUCCCAUCCUUAUAAUUGAAUCCAAACAUCUGUCACCCACAAAGACAUGGUUUUAGAGGUUGAUUAAUGGAUAUCUGGCUCACGGAGUACACAGAACCACACUCAUUUGCAACAAAUUUACACCAACACCCACACACGCUUAGGCACAUACACCAAUACGCAUGCCCCAAAUGCGUUCCUCCAAAAAACAUGUUUCCAUUAUCAUUUCUUUUAAUACAAUUAAGACAACAAUAAAGAAAGAGAUGUAGGCAGAAUAGUAAAAAAGCAAUGACUAGGAGUCCAGAGACCUCAGGUCUGAUCAUGACCUUUGACGAGUAACAUAAUCUCUCCAGCUCUCAAUUUCCACACAUGAAAAAUAUGAAUGAUGAAACCACCUCCAUCAUUUAACGCUUAUAACCCACCCACGACCUGACAUGUUCAUGCAUUUGUGCCUUCGUGUGAGAGUUCCUCUGCCAACUGUGUUCCACGAGACCUUCAUCAUCUUUCAGAACUCAACAGAUAUACCACCUCCCCAAAGAAUCCCUCCCUGGUUCCCCCAAGCAGAAUCAGCAGCUCAUUCUCAAUCAUUCCAGAAACCUUGCAUGCAAUCAGUUUUGUUGCAGCUUUCAUUGCAUAGUACAGCAACCACCUCACCUAAACUAUUAACCCACAGAGAACAGAGCAGGUCUGAUUGUUUUCGUUUCCCUGGUGGAGAGAAAAGGAAUAGCACAUGAAGUUCUAAUAAAAAGUUGAAGGGAAAAAACAAUUGAAUGAGUCAUUACUUGAAUGACACAAUAUCCUCAUAUGGCAUAAGAAAAGCUCCCACCUGGCCUGCAGUCUCUUCCCCUCUGCAACACUGAGAUCUCGGUCUUGCUGAAAUCUGGUACUAGUCCCAUCAUGUUCUUGGCCCAUCACCUUCAGGAUACAGUCCAGAUUCCUCAUCAAGGCAACCUGUUUCUCUGUCUUCAUGACUGAGUUGCCACCUCUCCUGCUGCUCUCCUCCCAUCCCCCACCACCUGCUAUGUUCUAGGAUACUCAGCCAAGGUUCCUGACACACCAUGCUCUGUCUUACCUCUGGGUCUAUCCCUCUCUCCUACAAUCCCAUCCACCUUCCUCACUUAGCCAAUCCCUACCUGUCUCCCAGACUUACCUAAGAUGAUUUUUCCUCCAGGAAGCCUUCCAGGGUCCCAGAAUCCUCUUAUUCUCUGCCUGCCAGAAUGCCAUGGUUGUCUCUAAUAGGACCAUCUGUUUGAGGGUCUGUGGGCUCCUUGAAGACAGAAACUGGGAACUGCUCACCUCUAUCCCCUGCCCCAUGCCUGAUGCUGACUGGCCACUCAGUAAGCAUGUCUUGCUGUGAGUGGGUGGGCAGAUGAAUGAAGAGUCCAAGGUGAUCAGAAGAGGGUCAGAUUCUAUAGGGCAACUCUAAAGCAUGUGCAUGUCACACCACCAGCUGAGGGUUUCCUUCUUGCCCUUUGAGGAAGGUUAUUUUCUUCUAGACCUUAACCAGCUUCUGAGAAAAGCAUUCUUAAAAUCUCCCAUUGUAGCUAUUAGUUUUUCAAAUUCUCCUUGUAAUUCAUUGUAUGUGUCUGUGCACAUAUGCCUAUAUUUAUAUGGUUAUGUGUGCACAGACACAUACACAUAGUCACAUAUAUAUGUAUGUACUUAUAAGUACACAUUCAGUAAAUACACAUCGAAGCUGUGUUGCUAGGUGUCUGCAAGUUUUUGAUUAUCUUAACUCUGCAGUAGAGCCAGACUUUGCUUAGAUUAUUUCUUUUUAUCCCCUCCCCUCCCUCAGCACACACACUUUUAUUUUCAAACUUUGUGUUUAGUUUUAUUUGGUUAACUCUUUUGUAGGCAGCUUAUACUAAAAUUUUAAAAAUUGAAUUUGAUUGUGUUUUCUAGUGAGAUAAUGUAAUUCAUUUAGGUUUACUAUUAUUUCUGCUUUUUAAUGUGUUCCAUUUCUUGUGCUUUUUUCUUUUUUUGCUGCCUUUUUCUACUUUCUUUUCUUCCUUCUGCUGGAUUAAUAAUGCUAGAUGUCUUCCUUUUUCCUAUUAUUUGCUUUGGAAGUUGGAGAUUCUAUUACAAUUGGGUGGAAUGGAUUGUCCUCUAGGAUUUUCACUUUACAAAAUCACAUUUAUAUUUUCAAGCAGUAUCCAAAAUUAUUCAGUAUAUCUGUCUUCAUUCCAAAUAUGACACUGCUGUUAGCAUGCUUCAAAUGCCCUUCACACACCCCUGCUCCAUUAUCUGUGUUAUUGCUCUAUAACUUUAGUUCCAUAUUUAUUUUUUCUAUCAAGAAUUCAUUGCAUCUACCAACAUAGUUUACCAAUUUCUUUAAUCAUCAUUUCUUCUUUUAUUCUACUCCUCUGAAUUUAGUUUCCUUCUUGCUAAAAUUUAUCUUUUAAUAGUUCUUUCAGUGGAAGUAUAAACUCUCUUAUUCUUGUAUGUCUGAAAAUGCCCUUAAUUCAGAUACUCUGGAAUGACAGUUAACUGGGUGCAGAAUUUAGACUCACAGCUCCUUUGAAGAUGACUUUCCAUUUUCUCCUCACCCCUAUUGUGGCUGAUUGGAAGUCUGCUGUCAGUCUGGGUAUAAUUCUUUUCUAGAAGUCUUAGUCUGUUUAGGCUACUAUAACAAAAUCUUACAGGCUGGGUGGCUUAUAAACAACAGAAAUUUAUUUCUCACAGCUAUGGAGGCUGUGAAGUCCAAGAUCAAGGCUAUGGCAGAUUCAGUGUCUAGUAAAAGCCUGUUUCCAGGUUCAUAGAUGGCACCUUCUCACUGUGUUCUCAUGUAGUGUGUCAAGGAAUCUUUUUGGGGUUUACUUUAUAAAAGCAUUAUGGGCUGGGCAUGGUGACUCAUACCUAUAAUCUCAGCAUUUUGGGAGGCUGAGGCAGGCAGAUUACGUGUGGUCAGGAGUUUGAGACCAGCCUGGGUGACACGGUGAAACCCCAUCUCUACUACAAACAUAAAAAUUAGCCAGGCAUGGUGGCACUCACCUGUAAUCCCAGCUACUCAGGAGGCUGAGGCAUGAGAAUAACUUGAGCCUGGAAGGCAAAGGUUGCAGUGAGCCAAGAUCGUAUCACCAGUUGCCAUGAAGUGAAGUGUGUGAUUAACCUUGUAUACAAGGUCCCUCACUUGUUUUAUCUAUGUGUUUAUUUUAUUUUACCAUGAUUUAUUUAUCUCCCCUCUCCCACAGAAGAACCACUCCUGUGUAUUUAAUGUGUAUUAUUUUGUUCAUAUGUGAUAUUAAAACAUGUAUUGUUUUCUGAACAUGUAUUUUUAAUUUAUGGAAACAAUCAUAUGUUAUAUAUGUCACACUGUAUUUUGUAAGAGCCACACAUAUUGUUGUGUGCACAUCAAGUUCAUUACUUCCAAUUGCUGCAUAUUAAUGCUUGGUGUACUCCAACCAAGUGUUACCAAUUCAUUUCCCAGUGAUAGCAGCCAAUCUUCUCUAUCUCCUUGACACUACAGAUAAAUCCCACUUGUAUUUGUCCUCUUACUGGAUGGUGAACAUUUCUUUGAGAUAUCCCUAUUCCUACUUCUAUACAGAUAUCUAUCUAUCCAUCUCUCUCUCUCUGUCUCUGUCUCUGUCUCUCUCUCUGUAUCCAUCUAUGUCAUCUACCUAUCUCCAGGAACAUACCUAAAUUAACUAGUGCAAGAUUGCCUUUCAGAAUACUAAUAGCUUUUACUUCCACUAGCUAUGUGUGAGGUUCCUAUAUCCUUAUAUCCUAAUGAACAUUUGAUCCUAAUCAACAUUUGGCUUUAUCCAAUUUUUUUAAUAGUCUUUGCUUGCUAUAUAUCUCUGUGUGGAAUUAUGCAUAAAUUUUCCAAUGUUAUUUUCCAUUUUAUUAAUUGUGUCUUUUACUGUGUCCAGUUUAUUUUCAUCUCAUCUACUGAACUUUCAGUCUUUCAUUUUAAAGAUUAUAUUUUUCAUUUCAUGGGCUUAUUAUUUUUUCCAUAUUACCUGGUUUUUUAUUCAUAUUCACCAAUUUUUGUUUUAUAAUCAACUGGCAUUUUGAUUGAUAGUAUUUCUUUCAUUAUUUCUUGGAGAACUGCUUAACAUCUUCAUUUUUAAAUCCAACUUAAAUUGUAAGCCAUUCUUCCCCAGCCCCAUAUUCUGAAUUGACUUGACUUUGCUUCAUUUUUUUUCUAUAGCACUUACUAAUUCCUAGUGUACUAUAUAAGUCAGUUUGGCUAUCUCCUUCCCCUGAUCCAGGCAGGGACUUCUGUCUGCUUGUCCAUGCAUCUCUGGUACCUACAACAGUACCGGGCACUGUAAAUGUGUAGCUUCCCAACACACUCGUUGAAUUGAUCAGUGAAUGGAUUGGUCUAUGUUAUCUUCAUUUCCUCUGAGUGAAUCCUUUGGUUGUUUUGUUUGUUGGAUGAUUGUUAUAGUGGCAGCUUUCCUCAUGUGCUACAAAUUUCCUACUGUGCCCAUGGAGUGGUAUUGGUUUUUGUUUUAGUUGCCUUUUCCUGUCCCUUCAUUCACUUCUCCUGCCUGGUAGUUUUGCUGUUGCCUUUACCCAACCCCUGGGUUUUCUGCACUAUCAACGCUCUCAUAUUUGUGGCCCACGGUUUGCACCCAUAGAGAUAUCACUGAUCCUGUGCCCAGGCCAAAGCACAGCUUGUCAUGGCUCCCAGAGGAUGAAUGGAUACCACCUUUCCCUCCCGCUACCCCAGGGAAAUGUUCAUCACCAUCUGCAGCCACAGGAAAACCAUCCCAGGCUUGAUUUCGUGUCUGUGUGCCCAGAAGCCCAAUGAACUUGUGGGUUUCACACAGGGAAGCUGGCUCUGGACCACUCCCCAACAGUAGGGUGAGCUUGGGCCUUGUUUCCAGUGGCAGUUGGCUUUGUGGGACCAGCAUCCAUUUCUGCAGCUUCAGCCCUGGGCCAUGUGAGUUCACAUUCUGUCUCUUGUCAGUGUCAAUGCUUAUUUUGUUCGUGAGUGUAGCUCUAGCUUUUCAACAUCUUAAAUAUAUCCCUAAAAUAGCUUUUUAAAACCACCUUAUCGUCACUUCAAUGAGUUUCACAAGACUAUUUUGAAAUUUGAUGAUCAAGUGUUGAUCUUUUCUUUCUCUUUGCAUUUUAGCUCCAUCACCAUCCUCUGAGCCCAUAAAAGCUGGCAGAAAACACUCCAAACAUCAGACAGCAUUAUCCUGCCUCAAAUACCCUUGCAUCUGUUUUCUUUACCUCCUACUUUUUCACCGGGCAUCUCAGACAUCAUCUUCUUUGAGCAAGAUGUCUAGGUUUUAUGCCUGUAUUAGUCUGCUUAAGCUGCCAUAACAAAAUAGCACAAACUGAGUGACUUAAAGAACAGAAAUUAAUUUUCUCACAGUUCUGGAGGUUGGAAGCCUGAGAUGAAUGCAGUAGCAGGUUUGGUUUCUCCCACACUCUCUCUCUCUGUGGCUUGCUGGUGGCUGCCUCCCUGCUGUCCUCACAUGGCGUUUUGCCUGUAUGCACACCCUCAGUGUCUCACCCUUGUCUUAUAAAGCUACUAGUCAAAUUGGAUUAGGGCCUACCCUUUUGACUUCAUUUAACUUUAUUUCUUCCAAAGAUUUUACCUCCAAAUACAGCAACAUUGAAAGUUAGGGCUUCAGCAUAUGAAUUUUAGGAGGACGCAAUUCAAACCAUAAAACUCCUACUAAAACCCUAUGUUAUAAUUGAACAGAAAUAAUGAGGCAAAUAGAUAUUCAUGCAUUUGGUUUUUCUCUUCUUGUAGUCAAUGGUCUUCACAACAAGAAUGAAGCAAUGUCUUUUGUGAUUUGAAGUUCAUAAGCACCAGCCCCUUGCAGAUAUGCUGCAAUGUUCAAUGAUCUCUGUGAUUGUGUGUUAUGAGUGUAUGGAAGUGGUGUCCAUUGAGGCUUAACUUCAAAUUAUUUUAGUAAGAUUAAAUGCUGGUUAUCAGUGAAAACAUCACAUUACCUUGGAGUAGAUGUUCAUUGAUAACUAGAUGUUAACCAGGACCCUUUGCGUAACCAGAUGUCAGCAAGCGCCUGUAGCAUUUACAGCAUAUGUUUACUGUUCUGCAUUGAGAAAGCCACGUUUUCCAAUAUUCCUCAUGAUUUCUGGGAAGAAGUCAAAAUCUCAAGCCCUCCCCCUUUGAGGCUCAAUGUUAGGGAGUGGAUUAAGGAGGAUCCUAUUGGGGAAAGAUGACAAGAGCGAACAAGGGAGUGAGUCCCUGAUGGCAGAUGCGCCGCGAAAGCAGAGAGAGAGGGACUGGCCAACCUGGCCCAACUAAGGACCUAGGUGGCCAAGAGAAGAUGUGGGUGAAGCUGACAAACCUGCUGUCUAGUCUCCAUGGGCAUGUCUUGGGAACAUGUGUGAGUGUAAGGGUGUCUCCAUGUGCAUGUGUGGGUAGGUAAGUCAAAGUAGCCAUCUACCUGAAUAAUUUAACACUGGGAGUCCAGGCAUAUUCCCCGGGGGAUCCACCAGUGCUGAGCAUCACUAAGCAGGUCAGGGAGCCCCUCCCUGUCUCGGGUCCUGAAUCACUGUUGCCAUGCACCCAGAACUUUCUACAUCUGACCAGGGCUUCCCAAACAGUGUCUAACAGCAGGAGAGGUGCUCAGAAGAGAGUGGCACCAUGGUAGAUGCUGGUGAAAGUAACUGUUCUGCCCUGGGGCCUGGGCCAGCCUUUGAAGAGUCUUUGGAUGAUCCAACCCCGGGUGUGUGGAGUAUGCUACCUGGGGAGGAAAAAAGGAGUAUGAACACAUGCUAUUUUUAAAUUUAAAUAUUAGAAGCAAUGAGACUUUUUUUGUACGCCAAGCUCAGGAGUUGCCACUACUAUUUUGAAGUCAAGGUAAUCAAGGCAAAAAUAUUUAUUUAUAAAAUCAAGGCAAAACACAUUUAUAGAUCAAAUGUGUUUAGUUAGCACCUAUUUUAUGCCAGAACCUGAAUUAGGCAGUGGGUACACAGAAUCAACAUGGCCUCCCCACAGGGAAUGCCCAGAUGGGCAAAGAAACACCUUAAUCAUCUGUGCUGAUGCCAUGUGACACAUGCAGUGUGAUGAUGCCUGCAGGGCUGGGAGGGACAGCUUUUUGCAGGAGUGGCCCAAGGGUGGUGACAGGGUUUUGAGAAGUAAAUAACAGCUUAUCAGGUAAAGAGAACAGCAGAAGAGGCUCCCUUUGGUCAGGUAUCAGCCAGGUGUCUUUAUUUUAGUUCUCUGAAAGGAAGUCUUUCAUUAAGUGGGUGGGACUCAGCCCAUCUGUGACCACCGAUGGUUCCAGGGGGACCUGGCAGUCACCACCCCAACAAAUGUAAAAUCUGCAGCUGGGGCAUCUGUAUGUUCAGUGAACUUCCGCAUUGGAACUCUCUAUCCUGUGCUCAGCAUGUUCCUCCACACAUGGGAACACUUCCCAUGAAUCUGGCCAAUCUGGAGGUGGUGCUGGAGAUUCAGAGACCUCCCCACACCAGCCUGGCAGGCCCCUCUGCCCAGAGUGGAAUGAACCCCAGGUGGAGCCCGAUCACUGGCUCCUGCCUCAUCUGCUUUUAAUCACCCCCUCUCCACAGUACAUCCCAUUAUGUUAACAAAACAUUUUUGCAAUUGCCCAGUGCUUGCUCCUGGGUCAGAGAGCUCACCUCUAUGAGUGAGGUUGGAAGGGUGACGCAUCCUUGCCUGGGCACAUUAGUAAAUCAAGAUUUUUCUAGGUCUGGGCGUGCUGCCCCGGUGCUGGCGAGCCCUGCAAGGGACCUGUGACUUCCAGAGCAAUCUGGUCUGUAUCAGUUGAGCACUCCCUGGGCCUCAGCUGGCCAGCAGGAUGCUCUGGCAGAGGUCUGUGUUCUAAUGAGGCUCUGUUUGUCUAAAGAUCACAUUUUGGUAUCCUUGGGGGAGGCUGCUAACAGAAUCAGGGAGCAUCCUGGAUCCUUCAUCCCACAGUUUCUUAAGUUGCUGUCAACAGGACUUUAGCAAAACCUGCUCUUCAAUUCUCCAAAUAAGUUACAGAAAGAGAAGCUUUCUGUGCCACAGCCACGUCAGCAACCAGGCAACCGCCCCAGGAAGCCCCUAUGUCCCUGGCUGAGGAGCGCUACUUGUAAGCCGGUGUUGUUUGAAGCCAGGAUCUUAGCAUUAGGAUGUGUUGGAAAGGGAGGCAUUCCAACACCACCUUCUUACUGUGGUGCUAGAGUGCCCUGGAGUUUUCCAAGAAGCAGGGGCAUUGGUAAGAAAAUGUGCAGGUGGCAGAUGACUGUCCUCUCCCCUGGGGGAGGUGAGGACAGGAUGCUGAGGGACCAGAGAGCACAAGGGGAAAUGUGUCCCUCAAUGGGCUCAGCUGACUGUCCUGGGAGUUUCUUGUGCUGAUCCCUCGCAUCCAGGCCCCCGCUGUGAACUGUGUUUUCCAAGGAUUGAAUAUACUUCCCUGGCAGAGGGACGAAGCAGGAAGUGGGUUCCGUUGGACAGGGUGCAGGCCAUGUUCCUUAACAUGGGCCAUGGCCCCUGGGGACCCAUGGAAGGCUCCUACCUCCCUCCAGUCAGACAAGCUGUGUAGAUGCACCUAUAUUUAUUAAGCUCGUUUUCUAUGACAGAUCACCAAUGGCUACUGAGCUUACAGCUCCUCCCAUGGAGUGCUGGAAUCUCUCUCAACCCCCUAGGAUCUGGGCUGGCCUGUGACUUGCUUUGGCUAAUGGGAUAGUAGCAAAAGUGGCACAAGCACCGACUCUCUUCCUCACUCGCUUUCCCCAUUGCUGCUCUUAGAGCCCUCCUGCCAUGCAAUUAAGUCUAGGGAAACUUCUGGACAAUGAAAGACAGGAAGCCCGGCCCCCUCCUCUUCUUCUUUCUCAGCCCUUCAAAUGUACUUUCAACAUCCCUAUCAAUCCACCAGUAUGACUCAGGGGUUAUGUUUUUGGUUUUGGUAGAAUGGAAAUGACUUCCCCAUGUAACAACUUAGGGUGUGUCUGUUAUCCCCACCAGACUACAUACUAGAUCCUCAAAGUAUGGAAUAUGUUCAUUUGUCUCUGUAGCUCAUGCUUACAGCAAAGGAGCUGACACGCAGUAGGUCUUCAAUAUACAUUUGUGGAACGAAGACAGGAUGGAGGGAGGAAGGGAAGGUGUGAGGAGGGAAGGUCCCCACCGGGACCCACACACAACAUUUUUAAUGUAAUAACUACAUAAACAGUGUUGUCAGGACUUCUUUAAUUUAACACAACUUCAUAAAAUCUCAGAUUGGGAAGAGACCUUGAUAUUCAUAGCUGCUUUUUCACAAUGACUUUUCUUUGCCUGACUCUCGACGGUAUUGUGAAGCAGUCAUACAAGGUCAUUUUCAUUCUUAUCUCACAGUGAGGAGAAUAGGGCAAAGGACUUAAAUGACUUGCCCAGCAUCGUGACACUGUUGUGUGUGGACGGCAGAACUCAAGCCAGGAUUUCAAACUUCAAACAUCCCCUACCAUCCUACCUGGGGGUCCUCAGGGUCAGUGCUUCCUAUGUGCCAGUUAUUGGAGUGACACCUUCAAAAGUUUUGCCAUUUCCACAUACCACUUGCCACUGUCAUUUUACUUACUUUAUUUUCUUUACACAGAUGCAUUUUAAUUUUGGUGUAUUUAUUAGAUUUUAGUUAAGCUUUUUUAUUUUGAGAUAGCUGCAGUUUCACAUGCAGUUGUAAGAAAUAAUACCUAGAGAUCCUUGUACCCCAGUUCCCCAAUGGUAACAACUUACCAAACUAUAGUACUAUUAGCACUAGGAUAUUGACAUUGAUACAGCCAAGAUACAUAACAUUCCAUCACCACAAAGUUUUUCCUAUUGUCCUUUUGUGGCCACACCCACUUCCCUACCACUCCCAGACCCCCCUUAUCCUUGGCAACACUAAUUUGCUCCCCAUUUCUGUAAGUUUGUCAUUUAAAGAAUGUCACAUAAAUAAAAUCUUUUGGUAUGUCUAAUAACCUUUUGAGAUUGGCUUUCUUCAUUCAUCAUCACUCUCUGGAGAUUCAUCCAGAUUGUCGCAUGUUAGACAUAAAAGUUAAAUAAACUUCCUUUUCAUUACUA
RNAcentral lists this long non-coding RNA (13042 nucleotides) under Homo sapiens (human). RNAcentral's name for it is "non-protein coding lnc-GDF10-3:2". The record is from RNAcentral. Lineage: Eukaryota; Metazoa; Chordata; Mammalia; Primates; Hominidae.